GGGCCGUUAGCUCAGUCGGUAGAGCAACUGACUUUUAAUCAGUAGGUCGCUGGUUCGAAUCCAGCACGGCUCACCA
This 76-nucleotide transfer RNA is filed under the name Erythrobacter sp. Its description in RNAcentral is "tRNA-Lys". It matches the Rfam family "tRNA". Rfam says of the family: Transfer RNA (tRNA) molecules are approximately 80 nucleotides in length. Their secondary structure includes four short double-helical elements and three loops (D, anti-codon, and T loops). The record is from RNAcentral. RNAcentral also lists the same sequence under 29 other names. Lineage: Bacteria; Pseudomonadati; Pseudomonadota; Alphaproteobacteria; Sphingomonadales; Erythrobacteraceae.